This 569-nucleotide ribosomal RNA is filed under the name uncultured Gammaproteobacteria bacterium. Its description in RNAcentral is "bacterial SSU rRNA". It matches the Rfam family "Bacterial small subunit ribosomal RNA", at positions 812 to 1381 of the family's 1533-position model. Lineage: Bacteria; Pseudomonadati; Pseudomonadota; Gammaproteobacteria. The record is from RNAcentral.
UCGAUUUGGAGUUUGUUGCCUUGAGUGAUGGGCUCCGAAGCUAACGCGAUAAAUCGACCGCCUGGGGAGUACGGCCGCAAGGUUAAAACUCAAAUGAAUUGACGGGGGCCCGCACAAGCGGUGGAGCAUGUGGUUUAAUUCGAUGCAACGCGAAGAACCUUACCUGGUCUUGACAUCCACAGAAUCUUGCAGAGAUGCGAGAGUGCCUUCGGGAACUGUGAGACAGGUGCUGCAUGGCUGUCGUCAGCUCGUGUUGUGAAAUGUUGGGUUAAGUCCCGCAACGAGCGCAACCCUUAUCCUUUGUUGCCAGCGAUUUGGUCGGGAACUCAAAGGAGACUGCCGUUGAUAAAGCGGAGGAAGGUGGGGACGACGUCAAGUCAUCAUGGCCCUUACGACCAGGGCUACACACGUGCUACAAUGGCGUAUACAAAGGGAGGCGACCUCGCGAGAGCAAGCGGACCUCACAAAGUACGUCUAAGUCCGGAUUGGAGUCUGCAACUCGACUCCAUGAAGUCGGAAUCGCUAGUAAUCGUGAAUCAGAAUGUCACGGUGAAUACGUUCCCGGGCCU